AGGCUGCACUCUGGAGGAGAGCGAGAGAUCCUUCAGGACUACAGCAGUGAACACAGCAGCCUGACCAAAACAGAGAGUGACCCGCCAGGGGACCUGUCUCUGCCAGCUCUAGGUCCUGAUGCCUGCUCUAUUGGUGUGGAGGAAUAAAUGUGGGUCAUCAGAGAGCCUGAAGAGUCAGAGUACCAACUGCUCCAGCCAGCCCCUCCUGUGUCCCCCAGCAGCCUUCACAUGGAGGAUGAGCAAUUUGACCCCUAACCUCUGGGCCCAACGGUUCUCCCUCUCUGGCUGAGUCCCAAUUCACUUUCUCACGUGGAUUUCACAAUGGUGGAAACUCCCUCCAGUCAAUAAUUACACCAAUCCAAUGCUUUUAAAUCCAUGACGGGAGUGUGAAAGUGCACAUUUAGCCUAAAGGAUGAAUAAUUGGGACUUAGCCAUGGUCUCCUCCCAAGCCCAUCCCUCCCCCAUGAUCCAGUCCCCUUGGGCCUUGUAGAAGACCUCUCUCCUACUUUGGUCACCGAUUCAUGCCAUAACUGGCAUUGAUUCAAAAUGUGUUUGUGGUGGUCAUUGCAAGGAUUUACUAAAACCAUACUAUACCUUAAUAGAAAAACAACAAGUCCUUAAUUAGAUUGCUUUGCAUACAUACAUUUAGGAGUGUGUAAUUGUUUGUCCAUUCUGGAUGGGGUUGUGAUGCAGUGGUGGACGUUGCAUGAUUCCAGUGGUUGAGUAUGACUACCAUCAUAUGGUAGUACUAGAAGCACACUCACUUUCAGUUUACUCUAUUCAAAUUAUUGCUUGACACUAAUUGUUUUAGAGAGCAUUAAUACCAUUCAUGUUGUAUUCAUCUACACUAAUAACUUGUUUUAACUGUUAUUUCUUGGUGCUUGUAUGAUAUGAAACGUUUUUGAAAUCAAACUUUGAAACAUUUCAGUGGACAUUUGACAUGAUCUAAACAUGACAUAAUUGAACGGUGUCAUUUAAAAAAAAAAAGUUUUUGAGGAUUCAUUCAUUUUACUUUGAAAUGGUGAAUUCCCCUGUCAAAUUGAGGCAUUUCAUUUCAAGUUGUCUUCAACGGUAAAUAUCUGCAUUUGUUUGUUUUUAUACUGAAUUAUGUGAUAUCUUAUAUAUUGUACCUGUACUAGAAAAUUGUGUAGAUUAAUUUGCAAAAUUGUAUAUUUGUGUAUUAUAGAAGAACAUCUGGGGAUUCAAAUAAGGAGAUUAGUAGUUACAGCUACAUGCACAGUAUCUCACAUUUAGCUGAUCGAUUUUUAGUGACAGAGUCCAGCUUUACACCCGAACAGCUGAACACAAAGAUAGAUAGAGCCUGCAACAAGCCAAUACGCGAUGCUGACUGUAUAGCACAAAGUGUGUUAUUUGUAGACGUGGCAUAUUUCUGUAGCUAUAUUGUGGCUUGUCAUCCUGGCAUAGUCGUUGCCUUGCUCAAGUUCUAUGACUUGCAGUGUCUGACCUCCCUGUAGAUGUAGCACCAUACAUAUAGAUCUAUGUGCCUUCAACUAAACAGAUAUGGCUGCUGCUUGUUGCAUUUUUGGUGUUCUUGUGAUGAAACUGUUUCAGGAUAUACAGCUGUAUGAGCACGUAGUCUAGGAGGUUUUUAUUCCCAUUGGCUGAUAUACAGAGCUGUAAAAGUAUGACAUUUCUUUGCAUUCUCAAUGGUUCGUUAAAUAUUUUUAAAGAAACCUAAUUGUUAUUAAAACCAACUGUUCAGCAAUUAGAAUUAUGUUAAGUCCAUAUAUUGAUACAUUUCAUCUAAAAAUGAACUACAUUAUGAGUAGACUUGGUUGUUAUAUGGUCUGUAUUGUAUGAGUUCUAAUUUUUUCCCCAGGGGGAAUAAACUAAAUGCUUCUCAACCAUUUUACUUAUGCAACAUCUUGAGACAUUGCAUCUUUAACAUUAGGUUAUCUUUUGCUUGUGAGUUUUGUUGUAGAGGGGUGUAAAACUAUCCAAUCUGUUUUUGAUUAACACUGUUCAUGUCAUGUGUCUUUGAUUAACGAUGUGUCAUGUUAACUUUGAUGAUGCACUUGUGCCUUGUUCCUGUUUCUCACUAUUAUUGACCUGGUAUCCAGGACAACACCACAUUUCGUGAUUCAUAACUCUAUCAAUAUCUGUCUGUCCCUGUGUACAGAUGUAGGAUCUUCAUUUGAUCAAUAUUCUGUUACUGAGAAUUUUCCUUCACAGCAGGAAAUGCACAUUUGUAGUGUAUUCAAGGUUUAAAAAGGCUUCUAAAGUUUGUCAUUUCUACUUUAAAAUAUCAGACUAGAUUUGCACUAAUGAAAAAUGUAUCAACCCCUACAAAAAUGUCCCAUUCACUAUAAUCCACAUAAUUAAAAUUUCCUGUUGCUGCAGGAUUAUUUUCCUGCUGUAGCAAACUGGCUCAAAUUAAGAUCCUACAUGUGUAGCCUAUAGCCGCAUGUGAAUAACAAUUAAAUAAAUGUAAUGUUGAACACUUCUGGUUUUAACUGCAUGUCUCAAGCUUGACCUGUGAUGACCAUUUAGGGUGAAUUCUGAAAAAGUGGGACACUGCAUUUCCAUCUUCUGUAACCUCUUUCGACAUCUAUUCAACAUAUUAGCCCAACACAUGACACAUUUCUGAAAUCCUACAGAUGUUUCGUAAUCGCACAAAAAAAAACGACUGUUGAUUUUAUAUUCACAGGAGGCAUGACCAUAUUUUCAGUUCGCAUUUGGUCGACUUUGACACCAUUAUUAUAGUCCUAAUUGUACUUCAAUGACGAUUCAAUUUUGUGUGAUUAGGAAACAUUUGAGGAUUUCAGAAAUGUAUCAUGUUGGGCCGAUAUGUUGUAUAGGUGUCUGAAGAAGUUACAGAAGACGAAAACGCAAAAAGUGUCCUGCUUUCUGAAUUCCAGAAAUAACAGUACUAAUAACAGGAUAUAGUACUACAAGAACAGAGCCUAACCUAAAUACAGGUGGCCCCUAAUGUAAACUGGUUCUCUCUCCUCCAUUAGAAAAGCCCACUCCAUUCUGCUACUUUAACUAGCUAUGGUUGGUAAUGCCGGACAACAAACAUGACAAUUUCAAAAUUGAAGAUAAUAUUGGCAACUUUAUGUAUUUUGAUGCACCAGUACAUAGUAUUCACAUUUACGUCAACAUUCGGCACAGUGCAUUAUGUAGGACCGUUUUAUAACCUUAACAAAACAGAGAAGCUAUGUCACUGAUUUUACCGUGUGCUUCCCGGGGUGAGCUUCCUGUUUGCUUUCUCUGCCCCUCCAUGAUGUCACCAAUUAAGUGAUGUAAUUUUGCUUUUAGUAACAAUAGUUUAAAUGUUCUUUUGUCAGACCAAGAAAUAAAGGAAUCAGGAUUAAUCUGUCCCAGUUA
Molecule: long non-coding RNA, 3348 nt
Organism: Oncorhynchus nerka (sockeye salmon)
Lineage: Eukaryota; Metazoa; Chordata; Actinopteri; Salmoniformes; Salmonidae
Exons: 3
Source: RefSeq, a predicted model, not a curated record